UUAAGCGACUAAGCGUACACGGUGGAUGCCCUGGCAGUCAGAGGCGAUGAAGGACGUGCUAAUCUGCGAAAAGCGUCGGUAAGGUGAUAUGAACCGUUACAGCCGGCGAUGUCCGAAUGGGGAAACCCAGUGCAAUUCGUUGCACUAUCGUUAACUGAAUACAUAGGUUAACGAGGCGAACCGGGGGAACUGAAACAUCUAAGUACCCCGAGGAAAAGAAAUCAACCGAGAUUCCCCCAGUAGCGGCGAGCGAACGGGGAGCAGCCCAGAGUCUGAAUCAGCUUGUGUGUUAGUGGAACGGUCUGGAAAGUCCGACGGUACAGGGUGAUAGUCCCGUACACCAAAAUGCACAGGUUGUGAACUCGAAGAGUAGGGCGGGACACGUGGUAUCCUGUCUGAAUAUGGGGGGACCAUCCUCCAAGGCUAAAUACUCCUGACUGACCGAUAGUGAACCAGUACCGUGAGGGAAAGGCGAAAAGAACCCCGGCGAGGGGAGUGAAAAAGAACCUGAAACCGUGUACGUACAAGCAGUGGGAGCACCUUCGGGUGUGACUGCGUACCUUUUGUAUAAUGGGUCAGCGACUUAUAUUCUGUAGCAAGGUUAACCGUAUAGGGGAGCCGCAGGGAAACCGAGUCUUAACUGGGCGUUAAGUUGCAGGGUAUAGACCCGAAACCCGGUGAUCUAGCCAUGGGCAGGUUGAAGGUUGGGUAACACUAACUGGAGGACCGAACCGACUAAUGUUGAAAAAUUAGCGGAUGACUUGUGGCUGGGGGUGAAAGGCCAAUCAAACCGGGAGAUAGCUGGUUCUCCCCGAAAGCUAUUUAGGUAGCGCCUCGUGAACUCAUCUUCGGGGGUAGAGCACUGUUUCGGCUAGGGGGUCAUCCCGACUUACCAACCCGAUGCAAACUACGAAUACCGAAGAAUGUUAUCACGGGAGACACACGGCGGGUGCUAACGUCCGUCGUGAAGAGGGAAACAACCCAGACCGCCAGCUAAGGUCCCAAAGUCAUGGUUAAGUGGGAAACGAUGUGGGAAGGCACAGACAGCCAGGAUGUUGGCUUAGAAGCAGCCAUCAUUUAAAGAAAGCGUAAUAGCUCACUGGUCGAGUCGGCCUGCGCGGAAGAUGUAACGGGGCUAAACCAUGCACCGAAGCUGCGGCAGCGACACUAUGUGUUGUUGGGUAGGGGAGCGUUCUGUAAGCCUGCGAAGGUGUGCUGUGAGGCAUGCUGGAGGUAUCAGAAGUGCGAAUGCUGACAUAAGUAACGAUAAAGCGGGUGAAAAGCCCGCUCGCCGGAAGACCAAGGGUUCCUGUCCAACGUUAAUCGGGGCAGGGUGAGUCGACCCCUAAGGCGAGGCCGAAAGGCGUAGUCGAUGGGAAACAGGUUAAUAUUCCUGUACUUGGUGUUACUGCGAAGGGGGGACGGAGAAGGCUAUGUUAGCCGGGCGACGGUUGUCCCGGUUUAAGCAUGUAGGCUGGUUGUCCAGGCAAAUCCGGAUAAUCAAGGCUGAGGUGUGAUGACGAGGCACUACGGUGCUGAAGUAACAAAUGCCCUGCUUCCAGGAAAAGCCUCUAAGCAUCAGGUAACAUUAAAUCGUACCCCAAACCGACACAGGUGGUCAGGUAGAGAAUACCAAGGCGCUUGAGAGAACUCGGGUGAAGGAACUAGGCAAAAUGGUGCCGUAACUUCGGGAGAAGGCACGCUGGUGUGUAGGUGAAGUCCCUGCGGAUGGAGCUGAGACCAGUCGAAGAUACCAGCUGGCUGCAACUGUUUAUUAAAAACACAGCACUGUGCAAACACGAAAGUGGACGUAUACGGUGUGACGCCUGCCCGGUGCCGGAAGGUUAAUUGAUGGGGUUAUCCGUAAGGAGAAGCUCUUGAUCGAAGCCCCGGUAAACGGCGGCCGUAACUAUAACGGUCCUAAGGUAGCGAAAUUCCUUGUCGGGUAAGUUCCGACCUGCACGAAUGGCGUAAUGAUGGCCAGGCUGUCUCCACCCGAGACUCAGUGAAAUUGAACUCGCUGUGAAGAUGCAGUGUACCCGCGGCAAGACGGAAAGACCCCGUGAACCUUUACUAUAGCUUGACACUGAACAUUGAGCCUUGAUGUGUAGGAUAGGUGGGAGGCUUUGAAGCGUGGACGCCAGUCUGCGUGGAGCCAACCUUGAAAUACCACCCUUUAAUGUUUGAUGUUCUAACGUUGGCCCCUUACCGGGGUUGCGGACAGUGUCUGGUGGGUAGUUUGACUGGGGCGGUCUCCUCCCAAAGCGUAACGGAGGAGCACGAAGGUUAGCUAAUCCUGGUCGGACAUCAGGAGGUUAGUGCAAUGGCAUAAGCUAGCUUGACUGCGAGCGUGACGGCGCGAGCAGGUGCGAAAGCAGGUCAUAGUGAUCCGGUGGUUCUGAAUGGAAGGGCCAUCGCUCAACGGAUAAAAGGUACUCCGGGGAUAACAGGCUGAUACCGCCCAAGAGUUCAUAUCGACGGCGGUGUUUGGCACCUCGAUGUCGGCUCAUCACAUCCUGGGGCUGAAGUAGGUCCCAAGGGUAUGGCUGUUCGCCAUUUAAAGUGGUACGCGAGCUGGGUUUAGAACGUCGUGAGACAGUUCGGUCCCUAUCUGCCGUGGGCGCUGGAGAAUUGAGGGGGGCUGCUCCUAGUACGAGAGGACCGGAGUGGACGCAUCACUGGUGUUCGGGUUGUCAUGCCAAUGGCACUGCCCGGUAGCUAAAUGCGGAAGAGAUAAGUGCUGAAAGCAUCUAAGCACGAAACUUGCCCCGAGAUGAGUUCUCCCUGAGACUUUAAGUCUCCUGAAGGAACGUUGAAGACGACGACGUUGAUAGGCCGGGUGUGUAAGCGCAGCGAUGCGUUGAGCUAACCGGUACUAAUGAACCGUGAGGCUUAACCUU
Molecule: ribosomal RNA, 2900 nt
Filed under: Klebsiella pneumoniae
Lineage: Bacteria; Pseudomonadati; Pseudomonadota; Gammaproteobacteria; Enterobacterales; Enterobacteriaceae
Description: bacterial LSU rRNA
Rfam family: Bacterial large subunit ribosomal RNA
Source: RNAcentral